Molecule: RNA transcript, 4068 nt
Organism: Culex pipiens pallens (northern house mosquito)
Lineage: Eukaryota; Metazoa; Arthropoda; Insecta; Diptera; Culicidae
Exons: 16
Source: RefSeq, a predicted model, not a curated record
AGAAUUUUAGUAUCAAUUAGUUAGCAGCUCAACCUGAACACACGAUCCCGCGCUCCAUUGCUUUGAAUGAACGCGUGCAGUGAGUGAGUGACUGGACGCGCGUGUGCGUUUGAAUGAAGGACACAAUAUCCGAAAAAUUAGGUUUAAUGUUUGUUUAUAGUUUUUCCUAAAAUAAACAGGAGUUGGUGCUAUUUUCGUGUUUGCUGGCUAAUGCUGUACAAUCCCGAAUGGUUUCUCUAUAGCUCUCUCAUAUACGCUACACUAGGAUUCUAGGCAAAAACUAAGCGCGCAUCACCACCAAGCAUCUCCACCCAUCGCCAUGCGAGUCAGUCGAGUUUAAGUUUGCGCCAAGUCUUCCGCAAAUACAAGAUCCUUCCGAGCGAAACCAUUCAAUUCAAUAAAUUUUAAGUUAAAAUAAAAAAAAAAUACAUUCAUCAAAACCACCCAUAUAAAACGGCGAUUGUAGUGCCGUAUACUCUUCCUACUACUAAAACAAAAAUCCACCACCAAAUAAAAAAAUACCAAUACCACCACCAAAACCAUCGAAACCCAAACAAAACCAUGGCCGAAGAUCUAGCGGACCAAAUUGAUGAUUAUAUCUGUGUAUUUGAAGGAGCCGGUGAUCUAACGAUGGACACAUUCGUCAUGUUACUGUUCGCGUUGAUCGUAGUAGUGAUAGCGCUAGUUUUCCUCUCGAAGCUACUGUACGAAAAGUAUGUAAAGAAGGGCGGCUCCGUAACGGCGGAGGGAGGAGCCUCGACGACGAUAUCUUCGACCUCGGCCGGACUCGUGGCCGGCAGUUCGGCGCUGCUGCCGAGCAAGGAUGGCGCAGCCGUCGGUUUGCGACUGUCCGAGCCGAAGGAGGUGCUGGCAACGAAAAAGGAAGCUCUCCUUGCCCAAGCAAGGAAUGGUGGUGGCGCUCUGGGUGGUGGUGCCCGAGUUGGUGGUGGCCUGGGCGGCGGUGCUGCAUUUGGUCCCAAAGCCGGUGGUAUCGGCGGUGGAGGUGGUGGCGGAGCCGUUCUCCGGAAACGAAUCUCCCGCAAGAGUCCCGGUCCCGAGCUGACCCAGAAGAAGCGAACGAUCGUCCCUCCGUCCAACAUCAAUGGAUCGGAUAUUCAAUCGGUACAAUGGGCCAUUCACAUGUUUCGGUGGCUCUACUCUGAUUUGGUCGUUGUGAACAAGCUGCUGCAGGACUGGGUUGGCACCGUCAACACGGCACUGCUAUCCUACGUGGAACAGCAUGAGAUGAUCGUCGAAGUGGUGCGGAUACUGCCAGAGAGUCUACCCCCAAACAUGCCGAGCAUCCUGUGCGAGCCGGCCGAGCAGCCGAACGAGGUGGAGCUCAUGUUCGACCUGGAGGCCACCCCAGUCCUGCAGAUCAAGGCGUUCAAAUCGACCAACCAGAAGACGGACGUCUCCCACUACAAGGCGACCGUGUCCCGGUUGAAGACCCGCAUGAGCCUGAUUAUCAACUUUUUCGCGCUCAAGGGUGAAAUGAAGGUGGAAGGCUUCCCGGAUAUCAAGAUCCACCUGAACAGCAUUGGCCCGCUCAAGACGGCCAACGCCCAGGACGAGAAGAAGCAGGGCGAUCUGAUCGUCGAGCUGCUCUCCGCCUCGAUCCGGGACGUCGUCUAUCCGAUCGACUUCUCCAUCUACUCGACCUGUCCGCGCCUGAUGGGCGAGGAGCCGGAGGAUGUGAUGCCGCUGGAUUACUCCGCGUACGGGCAAUACGAUACCUACCGUUCGUACCAGGACGAUUCGUUCGGCACUAGCGUGUCUGCUUCGCCAAGGAAGCUUCUAGUCAAGAUCAUCAAAGCUGAGGGACUUUUACAGUGUUCGCAACCGUUCUGCGUCGCCGAAAUGGACGAACCUGCUCAGAAGCACCAAUCUGCGUGCAAAAUGGGACCAAAUCCGUUCUGGGACGAUACUUUCCUCUUUAAUGACCCGCCGCCGCAACAGCAGUGUGUUGACGUUGAACCUUCUUCUAACCCUGACAAACAACCCACUAACGACAGCAGUAGUGUGCCCGAUCAGGUCCGAGACGACGAACCCUCCCAAGUCGGGGGUGACGACGAUCAGCCGGAGAAAGCGCCCGCUGAAUCCGAUGAGGUUGAUUCAGCCGCGCCCGUUGCAAAAACUAAAAACAAGUGUGGUUUCCAGAAGUUCUUGGGACUGGGUCUGGUCGGUAUCGAUGAGCUGUCGAACGGUCCGGCUUCGACCCAAGUCCUCGAGCUGCAGCCCAGGCCAUACGAGACGGAAAACAUCAGCGGUACAUUGACGGUUGAGUUUGUGUUCAUCGACGCUCCUCCUGCACCGGCUCCUCGACGACAGCACAUGCAGCAAUCCUUCCGAGCCGGUGAGGACGCGUUAAGCACAAGCACUCCGAAAUCCACCCUGGCAGGACACCCGACCGCCCAAGGAAUUGGCGCCAGCGGAAAGCAACUCCAGAUCGCAUCGGCACCGACUUCCCCAGCCAAGAGUGGCCUCUCCAGCAGCGUUAGCUUUGCCGAUCGCAACCAGCGCUUCCAAGCGGCCAACACGAACCGGCUGAACAACUCCUUCCUGAAGCCCCCGUCGGUGUCCGACUACGGCUUGAAUGGCACCCGGCAGCAGUCCGAAUCGACGCCCGUUUCCCCGGCGCUCUCGUCCGCUUCGCAGCAAAGCUACACCGGCCAACUUAGCGCCAGCGCCCCGGAAAGCGUCAGCAAGCUGGAGAAGAAACCGCGCAACAUCUUCGGCACGCUGCGCAACAAGCUGACCCUCUCGAAGAAGUCCAAAUCGAUGGACUGCCCCGAGUACGGUGGACCGACCUACCCGGGCCAGAUUCACAGCGCGUCGUCCACGCUGAGUCGUGGCUCGUCGAUGGACCAGCGUUCCAACAUCUUCCCCAACAUAAAGAAUCUCUCGCGGAAAUCUUCCAUUUCGGAAUCGUCGGCCGUUUCGGGCAUUUCGAACGCCAGCGGCCGCACCUACGUCCACGAAGAGUCUACGCUGCUGCUGGAGACGACGGAGAACAACGUGGUGCGACACUACCUGGUCCCGAUCGAGGUCGCCGUGAGGCAAAAGUCGUGGAAGCGCAAGGGCACCAAGCUUCACGUGUACAACGAUCACACCUUCAUUGCGAAACACAUCAGGGGCGGCAUCCUGUGCCACGUGUGCCACCGUAGCAUCCUGCGUCGCCCCGGCAAGCAGGGUUACGAGUGCCGUGACUGCCUCAUCCAGUGCCACAAACCGUGCCACGUGCGAGCACCACAAGCCUGCCCGAAUCCGAAGAUCCUGUCGAUGCAACUCGCAUCAUUACCCGUUCUUAACGAGUAAAUCAAUCCACCCCCGCAAGCUAGCAAUCAAAGCCAUAUUGAAGCCCCCGAGUUUUGAGUUUAAGUUUUUAAGCGCUUCCAUUGAAGAAAACCAAACAAAAUAUACACAAUUCUCAAGUUAAAAUGGCCGUUCCCCUUGAACUGAUAGAUCGGACAGCUUGAGACAGUCGCGUACGAGAGCGAGCAUUUAGGAACCAGGGGGUGAAUCACACCAGGAAACCAAAAAAAAAGAAACAAUCGAACAAAUCAGAAACGUCGUUACCAUACGCCAAGGUAAAUUACUCGAAUUAUUAUCGCAGAAUGCCAACCUUAAGUCAGCCAGCCAGAAUUGUGAGGGGUGGGGUCAAAUCCGAAUUUCUACAAAACGGUCAUGGUUACAGCCUGUAAGUUUACAAAAAAAAACUCGCUUAAAGUCACUAAAACUUAUGACCAAAUUUUUGCCACACAAUUGUGUCGUCCAUGUCCAUGCCUUUCGAAAAUCUAUUGUGUUACAAGUGCGUUCUGUAAGUAUGAGCUUAAUAAGUCGUAUUACUGAUGAUACAAAAAAAGAGGAGCGCAUCAAACAAAUCUCCACUUUCUACAAAAUAGGUUGUGAGACAAAACCUAGCACAAACACACACACAUGUUACAUACACCACUGUUAAAGUCUUUUUAAAUAUUAAAAAAAUAUAUAUUAUACGAAUACAAAGCUUUAUCUGUGUCGCGCCGUUUCUUCUACACUAAUUGAAUCUUUUAACUAUUUAUUGAAAAA